Molecule: ribosomal RNA, 252 nt
Filed under: uncultured Bacteroidales bacterium
Lineage: Bacteria; Pseudomonadati; Bacteroidota; Bacteroidia; Bacteroidales
Description: partial 16S ribosomal RNA
Rfam family: Bacterial small subunit ribosomal RNA
Source: RNAcentral
UACGGAGGAUGCGAGCGUUAUCCGGAUUUAUUGGGUUUAAAGGGUGCGUAGGCGGGCAUUUAAGCCGGCGGUCAAAUGUCGGGGCUCAACCCCGGCGAGCCGUUGAAACUGCCGUGCUAGAGAGGAAGAGAAGUAGGCGGAAUGCGCAGUGUAGCGGUGAAAUGCUUAGAUAUUGCGCAGAACUCCGAUUGCGAAGGCAGCCUACCGGCUUCUGUCUGACGCUGAGGCACGAAAGCGUGGGUAUCGAACAGG